UGAGGCAGUCCAACAGCAGAAGUAUUUCAGGAUGUGGGCUAAAGAGCAGAGUGAGAUGAUACAGGAGAGACUCCAAACCAAGAGAAGCACACGGAGGAUUCAGCACUGAAAACCAAGCCCAGGCAGAGCUCACAGACACAGGAGACUUGCAAGGAGUGGAUCUGGCUGGGAGCAGAGGCAUUGCUUGUACUCCUGUCUCAAAGUGCUGGGUGACAGGGCACAUCAGGAACGCCUAGACAAACCCUAGCACAAGAAGCCCAGGGAAUCCACCCUGAAAAUACUUAAAGCUAGCCACACCAUCCAAGAGAAGGGCUUCUAUAAAGGUCUGGAAGCAUCCAUGAAGAUUAUAUUUGCUUCCUUCUUAAACAUUGCCAUCUGAGAAGUCUGCCUUGCAGCUAGAAACCAGGAUAUUCGUGGGAGCUGAAUGGGAAAGAUAAUUUAUAUAUAUAUAUAUUUUUUUUUUCAAAAGUUGUUACCACUUCAUAGGGGCAAGCCUGUUGAAGAUCCACAAGCAAUCAGAUAAAGUGAAGGAUUUAGCAGAAAAUUGGAAGAACAAGACUCUUUUUGCAUCAGAUGAGGGGAAGCUGAGAACCUGGGAGAAGUGAAUUGAUGCCCCUGGAAAUCUGACCAGUGUUGGUGGUUAAAGAAUUGACACGAGAGACUGGAAGAGGACAGACCAAUUUUGAGAUAAUAAAAAUAAAUGUCUCUCUAAGACUCAUCAUGUUGAAGAAAGACUCACAUUUCUCUGCAGCCAGCAUUUGGAGGAGAGAGCUAUUUUUAGCCACAGAUACACUUCAGAUUCCAUUAACUAACUAAAACCAGGGGCUGCUUAGGAACAAUCCUUGAACACAGUCCAUUGUAAAAUUGCAAAAUAGAAAUGGGGAUGGGGUCAU
Lontra canadensis (Northern American river otter) is the source of this 893-nucleotide long non-coding RNA. RefSeq lists it as uncharacterized. NCBI's taxonomy places the organism in Eukaryota, Metazoa, Chordata, Mammalia, Carnivora, Mustelidae. The record is from RefSeq and is a predicted model, not a curated record. The transcript has 3 exons.